GAGUUUGAUCUUGGCUCAGGACGAACGCUGGCGGCGUGCUUAACACAUGCAAGUCACGGGGGGUAGCAAUACCAACCGGCGAACGGGUGCGUAACACGUGAGCGACCUGCCGAUCAGAGGGGGAUAGCCGGCCCAACGGCCGGGUAAUACCGCAUACGCUCAUGGAGCUGCAUGGCUUUAUGAGGAAACCUACGGGACUGAUCGAGGGGCUCGCGGCCUAUCAGCUAGUUGGCGGGGUAAUGGCCCACCAAGGCGACGACGGGUAGCUGGUCUGAGAGGAUGGCCAGCCACAUUGGGACUGAGAUACGGCCCAGACUCCUACGGGAGGCAGCAGUGGGGAAUAUUGCGCAAUGGCCGAAAGGCUGACGCAGCGACGCCGCGUGUGGGAUGAAGCUCUUCGGGGUGUAAACCACUGUUGCCCGGGACGAACGGCGAGCAUUAGCUCGAUUGACGGUACCGGGUGAGGAAGCACCGGCUAACUCCG
RNAcentral lists this ribosomal RNA (484 nucleotides) under uncultured Gemmatimonadota bacterium. Its description in RNAcentral is "bacterial SSU rRNA". It matches the Rfam family "Bacterial small subunit ribosomal RNA", at positions 9 to 505 of the family's 1533-position model. Lineage: Bacteria; Pseudomonadati; Gemmatimonadota. The record is from RNAcentral.